Molecule: ribosomal RNA, 405 nt
Filed under: uncultured bacterium
Lineage: Bacteria
Description: partial 16S ribosomal RNA
Rfam family: Bacterial small subunit ribosomal RNA
Source: RNAcentral
GACGAACGCUGGCGGCGUGCUUAACACAUGCACGUCGAGCGGAGCGGCGAACGGGUGAGUAACGCGUGAGUAACUGCCCCCCUCUCUGGGAUAACAGUUGGAAACGGCUGCUAAUCCCGGAUAGUGGGGGAUGACUCGCGUCAUAUGUGCUUGUUGGUGGGGUAGUGGCUUACCAAGGCGAAGACGGGUCGCCGGCCUGGGAGGGUGACCGGCCACAAUGUGCUGGGGUACGGCCCAAAGGCCUACGGGAGGCAGUGGUGGAGAAUAUUGCACAAGAGGGGGAACGCUGGUGCAGCAACGCCGGGUGCGGAAGGACGGUUUUCGGGGUGUAAACCGCUUUCAGCGAUGACGCGGUAGUGGAAGAAGAAGCAACGGCUAACUACGUGCCAGCAGCCGCGGUAAUUC